AGGAGGUUGGGGUGACUGCGCUGCUCCUUCAAGGGGUGGAAUGACUGCGCUGCUCUCUCAAAAGGGGCACUGGGAUCUCCGUUCUUUGUCCUGCAUUGUUAGUUUUCCUAUUUUGUGCGAUAAUCAUUAAGGCAGUAGAUACUUCAUAUUGGUAACAUAUGGAAUACGGGUCGUGUGCUGCGCUGGUGAGGACCUUAUCCCUCAUCA
This 207-nucleotide long non-coding RNA is filed under the name Salvia miltiorrhiza (redroot sage). RNAcentral describes it as "long non-coding RNA (SMIL_LNC003092)". The record is from RNAcentral. Lineage: Eukaryota; Viridiplantae; Streptophyta; Magnoliopsida; Lamiales; Lamiaceae.